This 253-nucleotide ribosomal RNA is filed under the name uncultured bacterium. RNAcentral's name for it is "partial 16S ribosomal RNA". It matches the Rfam family "Bacterial small subunit ribosomal RNA", at positions 524 to 776 of the family's 1533-position model. The record is from RNAcentral.
UACGUAGGGACCAAGCGUUGUCCGGAAUCAUUGGGCGUAAAGCGCGCGUAGGUGGCCAUUUAAGUCCGCUGUGAAAGUCAAAGGCUCAACCUUUGAAAGCCGGUGGAUACUGGAUGGCUAGAGUACGGAAGAGGCGAGUGGAAUUCCUGGUGUAGCGGUGGAAUGCGCAGAUAUCAGGAGGAACACCAAUAGCGAAGGCAGCUCGCUGGGACGUUACUGACACUGAGGCGCGAAAGCGUGGGGAGUGAACAGG